This 73-nucleotide transfer RNA is filed under the name Pelecanus crispus (Dalmatian pelican). It matches the Rfam family "tRNA". Rfam says of the family: Transfer RNA (tRNA) molecules are approximately 80 nucleotides in length. Their secondary structure includes four short double-helical elements and three loops (D, anti-codon, and T loops). The record is from Rfam by way of RNAcentral. Lineage: Eukaryota; Metazoa; Chordata; Aves; Pelecaniformes; Pelecanidae.
GCUGUGAUAGAGUUAAUUUUAGAGCAUGGUGCUAAUAACGCCAAGUUCACAGGUUCAAUCCCUGCUUACUGCA